ACUGCGUGGGCGGAACCAAGAGCCUGGCGGGGGGUUCUCCUGAAUGGCGGUUCUCCCAGAACCUCCAGAGAUGUCACAGGCCCAGCACUGUGGCUCGUGGCUGACCGCGCCCUGGAGGGUCUCGCUGUGUUUAUCCUUGUGAGGUCCUUCUACAGAGCUUUCAAGGAAGACAGAGUUCAGCCUGUUUAUUGGGAAGACUUUAAUCCUGCUCAAGACAUCUACUGUGUCACCGUACCACUGUGGCCCAGCGCCUGGUGGAGUGAAUCCAGACCCCCAGGGGUGUCCCCUCCCCGCCUUUCUCCUGGUGUCUAGGGGCACCCAGAAACCCUCACCCCAGAUUAGACCAGCUCGUUGGCAACAUCCCUGAGACAGAAGAGAGACACAGAGAGAAGAGGCACAGAGGAGCCGGCCAUGGAGCGAUACAGCAGAAGCUGGAGGCGACGGGAGGAUCCUGGCCCAGAGCCUCGGGAGGGAGUGGGGGCCGUGUUCCAGAAGCCUGAGAGUCCUGCGUGUUGUUCUGAGCCCCUAAGGCUGGGGUAGCUUGUUCCAGCAGUCAUGGGAAACUGACACAUCCCAAACACAGCAGCACGAGAACAUAGGACUGAGACACCAUCCCCAUCACGCCCCAACACACGAAGACUGACGGUGGCGGGUGCUGCACAUCUCAGCCGGAGCUCUGAAGGCAUUUAGCUGAGCGCUGGCCUGCACCUGGAGAGAGUGAGAGACACCAGCCUCCACUGCCAGGAAGGCCCAGGGUCCUCAGGGACCAAGACGCAGGAGACGGCCGCUGCCAGGGUCCUCGGGACUUCUGUGUGGCCUUCGCUACCGGAGCCCUGAGGCGCCAUCCCCAUGUGCCCUUCGGGCUGGUCCAGGAGGAGGCCCUGCGGCGGCCACAGACUGGGGGGACAAAGCCCCAGGAACUCAGAACCUUGUGGGUUUUGGAAGAGGAGCCGCGCAGCAAGGUCCCGACGCCUGCAGGGAGCUGAACGGGGAGCCGCGCGAGGAAGGGAGUGCAGCAGACCCAGUACGCAAAUGCUGACCC
Molecule: long non-coding RNA, 1042 nt
Organism: Homo sapiens (human)
Lineage: Eukaryota; Metazoa; Chordata; Mammalia; Primates; Hominidae
Gene: CEP72-DT
Product: CEP72 divergent transcript
Exons: 3
Source: RefSeq, marked validated